AAUGCAUGUUGUGGGCAAGAGCACAACAAAUCUUUGAUUCUCUCCCACGUCUCAUGAAACUGCUCACCAUCAUGUUGAUAGAAGCUUGCAAUUGCGCUUCUAAUCUC
This is a small nucleolar RNA of Rhodamnia argentea, 107 nucleotides long. NCBI's taxonomy places the organism in Eukaryota, Viridiplantae, Streptophyta, Magnoliopsida, Myrtales, Myrtaceae. The record is from RefSeq and is a predicted model, not a curated record.